UACGAAGGGGGCUAGCGUUGCUCGGAAUCACUGGGCGUAAAGGGUGCGUAGGCGGGUUUUUAAGUCAGGGGUGAAAUCCUGGAGCUCAACUCCAGAACUGCCUUUGAUACUGAAGAUCUUGAGUUCGGGAGAGGUGAGUGGAACUGCGAGUGUAGAGGUGAAAUUCGUAGAUAUUCGCAAGAACACCAGUGGCGAAGGCGGCUCACUGGCCCGAUACUGACGCUGAGGCACGAAAGCGUGGGAGCAAACAGGG
Molecule: ribosomal RNA, 253 nt
Filed under: uncultured bacterium
Lineage: Bacteria
Description: partial 16S ribosomal RNA
Rfam family: Bacterial small subunit ribosomal RNA
Source: RNAcentral